Molecule: unclassified non-coding RNA, 2026 nt
Filed under: Diabrotica virgifera virgifera (western corn rootworm)
Lineage: Eukaryota; Metazoa; Arthropoda; Insecta; Coleoptera; Chrysomelidae
Description: venom serine carboxypeptidase-like
Source: RNAcentral
CAUCUAGCGGUUCACAGUGGUGGGUGGUGAGAUGAUAUUGUAAAUCUGUUUAGUCAUCCAUUUUUUAGUGUGAAGUACUAGUAGAACUAGAAAUUGUUGUGAUAUAGAUAUACGGAAAUUAGGUGUUCUGCAAGUGCAAUCAUGAAGAAAGUGUUAGUUUUAACAUGUAUAUGUUUAAUUCAAAUAUCACACUCGGCUUUUCCGAAUUUUUACCCAAAAAUAGCUGUAGAGCCGAUCACAGACGAUCCUGGGGUUCCCCUGCUACUCACACCUCUUAUAGAACAGAACAAAAUAACCGAAGCUGUGGCAGCUUCCAAGGUAUAUUUCAACGGAUUUAAGAAGAUUGAAAGCUACUCCGGUUAUUUUACUGUUGAUAAAACCUUCGGCUCAAAUUUAUUUUUCUGGUUCUUCCCCGCUGCAACUAAUUACGAAAACGCCCCUGUCGUGUUAUGGCUUCAAGGUGGACCAGGAGCAUCUUCGCUGAUCGGGCUUUUUACAGAAAAUGGCCCUUUCAAAGCCAAAUCUAAGAAAGGAUUGAAACUCAGACCCUAUUCCUGGAGUACUACUCAUUCUAUGAUAUAUAUUGAUAGCCCAGCUGGUACUGGAUAUAGUUUCACUAACGGAGGAUUCGCUCAAAAUGAAACUAAGGUUGGGCAAGAUCUGUACAGUGCCCUUACUCAGUUUUUCACAAUGUUUCCUAAUCUUCAGAAAAACGAUUUUUAUGUUACUGGAGAGUCUUAUGGAGGAAAGUAUGUUCCAGCUAUUUCAUAUACUAUUCAUAAAAAUAAUCCGGAUGCCAAGUUGAAAAUAAAUCUAAAGGGACUGGCUAUAGGAAAUGGUUUGAUCAAUCCAGAAUUCCAGUUAAAUUAUGGAGAUUAUUUAUAUCAAUUAGGAAUGGUUGAUUUGAAUGGCCAGCAAGUUUUUAAGCAAGCGGAACAAGAAGCUGUCAAAUACAUCCAAAACAAACAGUUCGAUAAAGCACAGGAGGUCUUCCAUAAACUUUUAGAUGAUGAUUUCGACAACCAUUCAUCGACAUUCACAAAUAUCACAGGUUUCACCAACUACUACAACUAUCUGUACCCUAUUGACCCCAACAAUGUAGAAAUAGAAGAAGCCGUCAGAUAUCUUCAGAGAGAUGACGUACGCGCUGUUAUCCACGUCGGCAACACAUCAUUUGGUGCUGUGUCGUCUGAAGUCGAAAAUAACUUGAAGAACGACAUCAUGCAAAGCAUAACUCCCUGGCUUACCGAGCUUCUCAACAAUUACAGAGUUCUGCUCUACAAUGGUCAAUUAGAUAUCAUUGUCGCCUAUCCUCUAACAGAGAACUUCCUGAAGAACCUCGAUUUUAACGGUGCAGACCAGUACAAGACAGCGCAAAGGUAUCCUUGGUACGUCGGUACUGAUCUUGCUGGGUAUGUUAAGCAAGCUGGGAAUUUGACUGAAGUACUGGUGCGAGACGCUGGUCAUAUGGUUCCAGCGGAUCAACCUCAAUGGGCUUUUGAUCUUAUCAAUCGGUUCACCAGCAAUAAACCUUUCCAUAGAACAUAAUCAUACUCCAUGUAACCAUUCUCGAACUAUUAUUUUUAGUUCAUUAUUAUCUUCUUACUCGAUUAUAUAGUUUUAGUAGCUCAGUAGAACUUUAGUAAAGUCUGGGAUAUUUUAGGGGACUUGAGGGUAUUUUUGAUCAUUCACCUAUUACCAAGUCUUUAUCUAAUUAUCUUAAAUGUUGUUUUUUAUAUUAAUGAUGUGCUAAAAUAAUUUCAUAUAAAUGUUUCGUAAUUUUUACUGACAAUAUCUCACAAUAAGAUCAAUGCGGAUGUCUACAGCUACAGACUUGCGUCAGUGUGAGCUACACAGAUUAUAAACAGAUCAGGUUUGAAUGAUUGGAAAAAAUUUGAAAAUAUUGAAUUUUUCUGAUAUUAUUAACUGAAAGACAGUGAAAUACCCAUUUGAUAUUUUAUUAAGGAAAUAAUUAAUUUUGUUUAGAAAUAGGUACAUUAAGUAAAUAAAGAUUAAGUUACUUUUG